AUACGGAGGAUGCGAGCGUUAUCCGGAUUUAUUGGGUUUAAAGGGAGCGUAGGCGGGAGCUUAAGUCAGCGGUUAAAUGGUGCGGCUCAACCGUGCCCUGCCGUUGAAACUGGGUUUCUUGAGAGUGCAAGAGGCGGAUGGAAUUCAUGGUGUAGCGGUGAAAUGCUUAGAUAUCAUGAAGAACUUCGAUUGCGAAGGCAGUCCGCUGGGGCACGUCUGACGCUGAUGCUCGAAGGUGCGGGAAUCAAACAGGAUUAGAUACCCUGGUAGUCCGCACGGUAAACGAUGAUUACCCGCUGUCGGCGGCAGACAGUCGGCGGCCAAGCGAAAGCGAUAAGUAAUCCACCUGGGGAGUACGCCGGCAACGGUGAAACUCAAAUGAAUUGACGGGG
RNAcentral lists this ribosomal RNA (392 nucleotides) under uncultured bacterium. Its description in RNAcentral is "partial 16S ribosomal RNA". It matches the Rfam family "Bacterial small subunit ribosomal RNA", at positions 523 to 918 of the family's 1533-position model. The record is from RNAcentral.